GGGCCCGUAGCUCAGUCGGUAGAGCAUUUGACUUUUAAUCAAAGGGUCAUGGGUUCGAAUCCCGUCGGGCUCACCA
This 76-nucleotide transfer RNA is filed under the name Acetobacter sp. RNAcentral's name for it is "tRNA-Lys". It matches the Rfam family "tRNA". Rfam says of the family: Transfer RNA (tRNA) molecules are approximately 80 nucleotides in length. Their secondary structure includes four short double-helical elements and three loops (D, anti-codon, and T loops). Further hydrogen bonds mediate the characteristic L-shaped molecular structure. tRNAs have two regions of fundamental functional importance: the anti-codon, which is responsible for specific mRNA codon recognition, and the 3' end, to which the tRNAs corresponding amino acid is attached (by aminoacyl-tRNA synthetases). tRNAs cope with the degeneracy of the genetic code in two manners: having more than one tRNA (with a specific anti-codon) for a particular amino acid; and 'wobble' base-pairing, i.e. permitting non-standard base-pairing at the 3rd anti-codon position. RNAcentral also lists the same sequence under 3 other names. Lineage: Bacteria; Pseudomonadati; Pseudomonadota; Alphaproteobacteria; Acetobacterales; Acetobacteraceae. The record is from RNAcentral.